GUUUAAAUUGUAAUUUACUUUCAGGUCCAAAAGCAGCAUUGACUGCAGACGAAAUGGCUGAUUUUUACAAGGAAUUUUUGAGCAAAAAUUUUCGGAAGCACAUGUAUUAUAACAGAGACUGGUACAGGCGCAAUUUCACCAUCACCUACUUCAUGGGGAAGGUGGCCUUGGAGAGGAUUUGGAGCAAGCUGACACAGAAGCAAGCGAAGAGGAGCGGCUAGCACUCCCCUCCGGCCUGCAGCCUCCCGCUGGCCAGGCCACGCUGAGGGGCCUGGCAAAUGCUGCAGUGACCACAGCCCCAUGAUUUUGUCUGUGGCUCCGCGUGGCGUAUUGUCAGGAAUGUUGUCAAUAAAGCUCUGAGCGCUG
Long non-coding RNA from Dipodomys ordii (Ord's kangaroo rat), 366 nucleotides. RefSeq lists it as uncharacterized. The record is from RefSeq and is a predicted model, not a curated record. The transcript has 2 exons. Lineage: Eukaryota; Metazoa; Chordata; Mammalia; Rodentia; Heteromyidae.